AUCCAUUGAAAUUGUCUUAGGAAAAACACAUUAGGCUAAACCAGUACAGUCAAAAAACUUAUGAGCAAAUGGGUGAAGAGAGAAUUUCAAAAUGUAACACCACCGUGAGAUGAUAUUCUACUGUUUUAUUCAUAAACUUGUCUUGCAUGCCAGUCUUCCCUCACCAAGAAAACAAGGAUCUUCAAAAGAGACCAACUGCCAUAAUCCAUAAAAACCCGACAUCACAACUUAAUGAAGGCACGAGUAUGCCAGAGUCUUCUCCUCA
This 265-nucleotide unclassified non-coding RNA is filed under the name Hevea brasiliensis (rubber tree). The record is from RNAcentral. Lineage: Eukaryota; Viridiplantae; Streptophyta; Magnoliopsida; Malpighiales; Euphorbiaceae.